Molecule: non-coding RNA, 2329 nt
Organism: Coturnix japonica (Japanese quail)
Lineage: Eukaryota; Metazoa; Chordata; Aves; Galliformes; Phasianidae
Source: RefSeq, a predicted model, not a curated record
CCUAGACUGCAUGAAAAGAAGCGUGAGCAGGCUUUGAGCAAGCUGGGUCUAGAGGGAGGUGUCCCCUCAGCAGGAGGGCUCCCUGGGAUCAGCCUUGGGAGCAGUGGGCAUCCUGCAGACGGCACGGCUCUGGGAAGUCCCGCGCGUCCCUGCGCGCAGCGCGGCGCCGGCGGGGCUCCGCCGAACGGGGAAGGGGCGGCGCGACCCCGCGCCCUCCCAGGCACCCCCGCUGCGCCGCUCUCCCACCGCCCCCCGGGCCUCCGAGGGGCGAGCCGACCCGCCUCCGUCCCGCGGGGGCCGGCCGUCAGGGAGCCCGAGCCCGCGCCGCUGAGGCGGACGGAACCGCCUCUCUUCGCCCCGCCGUUGGCUCCGACCGGGAGCCUGUGUGAGGCCGCCGCUCCCGCAGUGGAGCCGCGGCGGGCGGGCGGCACCGGGCAUCGCUAUGGAGAGGAACCCCAUCCCGGUGCUGACGGUGCAGACGACGCCCUACGAGGACCAGCGGCCGACGGGCGGCGCGGGGGGCUGCGGCGCCCCACGGGGCUCUUGGAGAGCCAGCGCAACUACCUGCCCAGCUUCGUGCAGAGCCUGCUCUCCUCCGUCGAUCUCCGCGACCGCCAGGGCUGCACCAUGGUGGUGGGCAGCGACGGCCGCUACUUGAGCAAGACGGCCAUCGAGAUCGUCGUCCAGAUGGCCGCGGCCAACGGGCACUUGACAGAGGAGAAGCCAGAAGGCCUUGUCAACGAAGCAUCUCGGCAGGUUGCAUUAGCUGAUCUUGUAAUCGUCAAUAAAACGGAUUUGGUUUCAAGGGAAGAAUUGAAUAAAGUCAGAACAACUGUCAGGUCAAUAAAUGGACUUGUCGAAAUUUUGGAGACACAAAGGUCGAGAGUUGAUCUUUCCAAUGUGCUGGACCUGCAUGCUUUUGACAGUCUAUCUGGAAUCAGCUUGCAGAAAAAAUUGGAGAGUAUGAAGACAACAGAUGCACAUCUCGACAAGGACAUAGUGACAGUAACACUUGAAGUCCUAGGAAAUAUUAAGGAAGAAAACCUUAAUCUCUUUAUACAGAAUCUUCUGUGGGAAAAGAAUGUGAAAGAUAGGACUGGAUGUACCAUGGAUGUCAUAAGACUGAAGGGACUCGUAUCUAUUCAAGGCAAAUCUCAUCAAGAGAUAGUCCAAGGUGUCCAUGAGCUGUAUGAUCUGGAAGAGACUGCAAUAGAAUGGAAAGAAGAUGAAAAAAGAACCAAUAGGUUCAUUCCCAGGGCAGGUUGCAUAGCUGAUCUUGUAAUCGUCAAUAAAACGGAUUUGGUUUCAAGGGAAGAAUUGAAUAAAGUCAGACCAACUGUCAGAUCGUGUAGUGAAAAAGAGCAGUGAGAAAGCAGUGAAAAAGAGUCUGCCCCUUUCUGGAGAUGUUUCCAGUGCAUUUCUGUGCUUCCACAGUCUUAUCAGCUUGCCUAAGUCAAUAAAUGGACUUGUCGAAAUUUUGGAGACACAAAGGUCGAGGUAUUAGAUUAACCUGUAUUCCAACAAGUACCAAAUCCUGUCCCACUGACAUUAUUUUUACAAAGCUUUCAUUAUGAGCUUUGUAAAAAGCUCAGCAGCGAGAGUGGGUGGCCUCCUGCCCGAGGAGUGGGCAGCACUCUUCAGGGAGAGACGUGACCUCCUCUUCCCAGUGCAGCCCUGGAUACAGGACAUCUUCUCCCAGAUCCAGGAGCUGCCCUGGUGGCAGAUCUGUGGGCUGGAGAGUGUGAUCCUGGCUCUUCUGUGCCGAGUGGGGCUGAACAGGGAUGCCCUGGUGUACCACGCACAGCCCACCCUGGGACCUAUCACGGCAGCAUUCAUGGACGCGCUCAUCGAAGUCAUCGUGAGCCGGUGCGGCCAGGAGGCCCGGAGGCUGCUGGGCCUCGAAGAUGCCAGCGCUGCCCAGGAGCACGAGGACGGGCCCGAAGAGCCCAGUGCUGCCCAGGAGCACGAGGAUGGCCCCCCAGCCCCGUCUGGUCCCUCCACAUCUCCUCAGGGGACCGUUGCCCCCAGCACCUCUCCCUCCGGCAGCUCCGCGGGUCCCGACGCGGAGGAGCUCCCCGGCACGUCCAGCGGGGCCCUCGGCAGAGGUCCCGGCGAGCCGGGUUCCGAGGCAGCCGGUCCCUCUGAGCAGGGCCGCAGCCGCGGCUCCUCCUCUCGCGGCCGGGGCAGGAAUCGCUCGGCUGGGGGAUCCCGGCGCCCCACCAAGAGGAGGGCCGGCAGCGCCCAGCGCGCUCCUCUGCCCUGCAAGAGGCGGCGCCACCGGCGCCUCUAAAUGGGGCUUACACGGCUUAACAAUAAAAGAUAAAAACAC